This 753-nucleotide ribosomal RNA is filed under the name uncultured prokaryote. Its description in RNAcentral is "bacterial SSU rRNA". It matches the Rfam family "Bacterial small subunit ribosomal RNA", at positions 715 to 1482 of the family's 1533-position model. The record is from RNAcentral.
GCGAAGGCAGCUUGCUGGACUGUAACUGACGCUGNGGCACGAAAGCGUGGGGAUCAAACAGGAUUAGAUACCCUGGUAGNCCACGCCGUAAACGAUGAAUGCUAGCUGUUAGCGAUAUACUGUNAGCGGCACAGAGAAAUCGUUAAGCAUUCCACCUGGGGAGUACGCCGGCAACGGUGAAACUCAAAGGAAUUGACGGGGGCCCGCACAAGCGGAGGAACAUGUGGUUUAAUUCGAUGAUACGCGAGGAACCUUACCUGGGCUUAAAUUGCAGUGGAAUAACGUGGAAACAUGUUAGCCUUCGGGCCGCUGUGAAGGUGCUGCAUGGUUGUCGUCAGCUCGUGCCGUGAGGUGUCGGCUUAAGUGCCAUAACGAGCGCAACCCUCAUCGAUAGUUACUAACAGGUUAAGCUGAGGACUCUAUCGAGACUGCCGACGUAGGUCGUGAGGAAGGUGGGGAUGACGUCAAAUCAGCACGGCCCUUACGUCCAGGGCUACACACGUGUUACAAUGGGGGGUACAAAGGGCAGCUACCUGGCGACAGGAUGCUAAUCUCUAAAACCUCUCUCAGUUCGGAUUGGAGUCUGCAACCCGACUCCAUGAAGCUGGAUUCGCUAGUAAUCGCGCAUCAGCCACGGCGCGGUGAAUACGUUCCCGGGCCUUGUACACACCGCCCGUCAAGCCAUGGGAGCCGGGGGGACCUGAAGUAUGCAACCGUAAGGAGCGUCCUAGGGUAAAACUGGUGACUGGGGCU